UACAGAGGUCUCAAGCGUUGUUCGGAUUCAUUGGGCGUAAAGGGUGUGUAGGUGGCGCCGUAAGUCAGGUGUGAAAUUUCGGAGCUUAACUCCGAAACUGCAUUUGAUACUGCGGUGCUUGAGGACUGGAGAGGAGACUGGAAUUCAUGGUGUAGCAGUGAAAUGCGUAGAUAUCGUAAGGAAGACCAGUGGCGAAGGCGGGUCUCUGGACAGUUCCUGACGCUGAGGCACGAAGGCCAGGGGAGCAAACGGG
RNAcentral lists this ribosomal RNA (253 nucleotides) under uncultured bacterium. RNAcentral's name for it is "partial 16S ribosomal RNA". It matches the Rfam family "Bacterial small subunit ribosomal RNA", at positions 524 to 776 of the family's 1533-position model. The record is from RNAcentral.